AACACAUGCAAGUCGAGCGGAUGAAGGGAGCUUGCUCCUGGAUUCAGCGGCGGACGGGUGAGUAAUGCCUAGGAAUCUGCCUGGUAGUGGGGGAUAACGUUCCGAAAGGAACGCUAAUACCGCGUACGUCCUACGGGAGAAAGCAGGGGACCUUCGGGCCUUGCGCUAUCAGAUGAGCCUAGGUCGGAUUAGCUAGUUGGUGAGGUAAUGGCUCACCAAGGCGACGAUCCGUAACUGGUCUGAGAGGAUGAUCAGUCACACUGGAACUGAGACACGGUCCAGACUCCUACGGGAGGCAGCAGUGGGGAAUAUUGGACAAUGGGCGAAAGCCUGAUCCAGCCAUGCCGCGUGUGUGAAGAAGUCUUCGGAUUGUAAAGCACUUUAAGUUGGGAGGAAGGGCUGUAGGCUAAUAUCCUGCGGUUUUGACGUUACCAACAGAAUAAGCACCGGCUAACUUCGUGCCAGCAGCCGCGGUAAUACGAAGGGUGCAAGCGUUAAUCGGAAUUACUGGGCGUAAAGCGCGCGUAGGUGGUUCGUUAAGUUGGAUGUGAAAGCCCCGGGCUCAACCUGGGAACUGCAUCCAAAACUGGCGAGCUAGAGUACGGUAGAGGG
RNAcentral lists this ribosomal RNA (612 nucleotides) under Pseudomonas sp. O1. RNAcentral describes it as "bacterial SSU rRNA". It matches the Rfam family "Bacterial small subunit ribosomal RNA", at positions 50 to 658 of the family's 1533-position model. The record is from RNAcentral. Lineage: Bacteria; Pseudomonadati; Pseudomonadota; Gammaproteobacteria; Pseudomonadales; Pseudomonadaceae.